UUUGGACCCAUUCAAAGGACUGGACAGCAGAAUGUUGUUCUCCAAAACCAGAGUAUGCUUGAGUAUAUAACAACAUUAACCAGUCCCGAUAUAAUGCCAUCAUCUUCAUGACGAGGUAAUAUCGACGAGAAUCAUGAGCAAAACUCUCAAAAUUAUUCGGUCACAUCGACAAUAAUUAUGGACAAUUUUUCCGACAUGACAACUGAUGAACAAGACUCAUCUACACAGAUUAUGACGAAUUCUACAAUUGCUACGCAUGAAGAAAAGAUGAAGGAAAUGGAAGAGCAACUGCGAAAUAUGACAAACUAUAAAAGUGCAACAGAAGAAAUUAAGAGGCUGACAACUAGUGAAAAAGCUGAGAAGUUAUACAUGAUAAGAGAGAAAUCAAAGACACGGAUGAAGGCAGAACACACAGCAAUAAGAAAAAGAUAGCAUAAGAAACUCGCAAAAAUGAAGAGCAAGACACUUUCCUACUUAAACCAGCACCAAAAUUGAAAGAAGAAUUGUUGAAGAAAGAACGUUUCUUAAAAAUGCAAAUGAACAAUGCAACGAGUGUACUUAAUAACGAUGCGUUCCGCGAGUUCCGCGUUAACUUCGUUAAUCGACGAACCCAAUAAA
This is a long non-coding RNA of Acromyrmex echinatior (Panamanian leafcutter ant), 618 nucleotides long. The record is from RefSeq and is a predicted model, not a curated record. Lineage: Eukaryota; Metazoa; Arthropoda; Insecta; Hymenoptera; Formicidae.